UCUUGACUAGUAUAUCGGUUUAGUACAGCCGCUUGUCAUCGGAGCGACACCGCGUAAGCUGUACGCGGCAGAGCUGGGUUCGACUCCCAGGUCGAGAG
Non-coding RNA from Mycena filopes, 98 nucleotides. The record is from the annotation of a GenBank genome assembly. NCBI's taxonomy places the organism in Eukaryota, Fungi, Basidiomycota, Agaricomycetes, Agaricales, Mycenaceae.